GACGAACGCUGGCGGCGUGCUUUACACAUGCAAGUCGAACGGAAAGGCUCCAGCUUGCUGGAGUACUCGAGUGGCGAACGGGUGAGUAACACGUGGGUGAUCUGCCCUGCACUUCGGGAUAAGCCUGGGAAACUGGGUCUAAUACCGGAUAGGACCGCACUUUGGUGUGUGUGGUGGAAAGGUUUUUUCUGGUGUGGGAUGAGCUCGCGGCCUAUCAGUUUGUUGGUGGGGUAAUGGCCUACCAAGACGGCGACGGGUAGCCGGCCUGAGAGGGUGGACGGUCACAUUGGGACUGAGAUACGGCCCAGACUCCUACGGGAGGCAGCAGGGGGGAAUAUUGCACAAUGGGGGAAACCCUGAUGCAGCGACGCCGCGUGGGGGAUGAAGGCCUUCGGGUUGGAAACUCCUUUCGCUAGGGACGAAGCUUUUUGUGACGGUACCUGGAGAAGAAGCACCGGCUAACUACGUG
This 469-nucleotide ribosomal RNA is filed under the name uncultured bacterium. RNAcentral describes it as "partial 16S ribosomal RNA". It matches the Rfam family "Bacterial small subunit ribosomal RNA", at positions 28 to 507 of the family's 1533-position model. The record is from RNAcentral.